This 234-nucleotide unclassified non-coding RNA is filed under the name plant metagenome. Its description in RNAcentral is "partial contains small subunit ribosomal RNA, internal transcribed spacer 1, and 5.8S ribosomal RNA". The record is from RNAcentral.
UUUCCGUAGGCGAACCUGCGGAAGGAUCAUUACUGAGUGAGGGCCCUCUGGGUCCAACCUCCCACCCGUGUUUAUUGUACCUUGUUGCUUCGGUGCGCCCGCCUCACGGCCGCCGGGGGGCUUCUGCCCCCGGGUCCGCGCGCACCGGAGACACCAUUGAACUCUGUCUGAAGAUUGCAGUCUGAGCAUAAACUAAAUAAGUUAAAACUUUCAACAACGGAUCUCUUGGUUCCG